Molecule: long non-coding RNA, 1937 nt
Filed under: Capsicum annuum
Lineage: Eukaryota; Viridiplantae; Streptophyta; Magnoliopsida; Solanales; Solanaceae
Description: long non-coding RNA (CANN_LNC006697)
Source: RNAcentral
CACACACGAACACACCACACAUAUACGCCCAAUACACACAAACAUAUCGGAUCUCUCUCUCCCUCUAUCUUUACUGCCUUCUCCACCAGACACCACCAUCAAAUUCUGGUGAAGCCUCCAGCCACUGUCUCCCGCACUAUCAUAUUAUUCACCGGCAAACUUCCCACCGGCAAACCUCUGAGGUGCCCCUCCUCCAUCUUCUCUCUUUCUCCAUCGCCAAACACCAUAAACCACCAGAACCCUUCCCAACCACCUCCACAGCCAGCUGCCUUUAAGUUAAGCAAAACAGCGACGCUCGCCGUGAAAUAGCUUUACUAGCCUCCGCCCCUUCCUCUCUCUCGGUUGUGGACCAGCCCAUUACCACCACUAUAUCAUCUCUCUUUACCUUCAUUUUAAAAAAAAUUAUUUUGGUAGAUCUGUUUGUCGUUGCUCCAUUGAAAGUCGUUGAAGCAACACCACUCUGAUCACUUUUUUGUCUUGUUGUAUACGUUAAAUAUGAUUGUUGAGUUUUGUUUUAUAGAUCUGACUGGAGGUGAAUUUUUUGGCAAACCUCAUGAAUUCCAACGAAUGGUUUACUUUUUUAACUCUUCCUGUACAUUCAUAUUAUAUAUGCAUUAACCUACCAAGUGCACUAAAAUAUGUAUUAUUGUUUUUUUAGAUGCCUUACUGCUAAUGCAUUUAGCUUGUUUUGAUUUUCAUUAACAUUAUUUUGGAUUGUUUUGGCAUAGUUUUUAUAUAUUCUGGAUAGAGUUGCCACUGAUUUGCAUUUUUUGGGAAUUAAAUUUGGAUGAUUUUGACCUUUUUAUUUACUGCCUUUGAGGUUAUACUAAUAAUGAAUAAGAUAUUACUUGAUUGGCCAAUGAUAUUAUCUUUCCGUCGAAUUUUUGAGGCCAUACCAUUACAAGAAAUUGACUUUACUUUCUCAAAUUUUCUAUUUUAUAUCAAAGGCCGACACUUGGCUGAUGAAGAAAUUCUCCGUCGAUUUUUGAGGCCUUCAAAUAAAAAGACGGAUAUUACGUAUAUAAAUACGUAAUAAAAUAAAUAAAUUUGGGAAAUGAUGAAAUCUUUAUAAAUUUUUUAAAAACUUUAUCUGAGUUCACUUUUUUAAAAAAAUUAUAUUUUUAAAUAUAUAUAUGCACACAUACCUUUAUAAUUUAUUUUGUUAUUAUUUAUUUGUUACUAACAAUGCUAUUACAAGUGUUUAUAUAGGUUAUUGGGUAUACUCGUCGGGAAUGACAUUCAAAGAAGACCUUAAAUUUUGUGUUUGUAUUUUUAUAUUUUUAUACUUGUACAAAUAUUAUCAUAGUGAAAUUUUAUUUUUGGGGCAUUGAGCGGGGAUGUUCUUUAUUUAUACAAACUUCACCGCGCGUUUAGGAUAACUUAGGCCGUCAUUAUUUAUGCAAAAAAGAAUCAAAUUAAUUUAGGUAUUUAAUCAAACAAAAUUAAAAAUACUUUCUUUUAUGAAUUUCUUUUUAUAUCUCAAACAUAUUCUUAUGUACUUUGGUUACAUGUCUUUACAUUCUUUUACGUUCAUAUUUUUAUGAUGACAUAUGUAAUUUAUACACACUUUAAAUGUAGAUUAUUUUAAAAUGUAUUUUAUAUCUAUAUUUAUAAACAACGACUUUUUUUCUUGAUCUUUUAAUAAGCCUAAGUCUGGUCGGAAACCAUAUUUGUGGAUUCUGAAGGGUGCCUCUCUUCCCUUCGAAAUAAUUUGAACCCCUACUUGGAAUCUAAAAUGGUUUUGCAGAUUAAAUAAAGUCACACUUGGUAAAAUAUAAAUAGGUUUCCUAUUUUUCCUUAAAAAUUAGGUGGCGACUCUGUACAAAAUUAAUUCUUUUUUGAGUCCAUAAUGUUGUGCUCGUUUUGAACUUAAUUAAAAAUAGGGUGUGACAAGUAGAACUCUGGAUAUAGCAUUGAUGUAAAAGGGUUAGUUUGUG